GACGAACGCUGGCGGCGUGCCUAAUACAUGCAAGUUGAGCGCUGAAGGUUGGUACUUGUACCAACUGGAUGAGCAGCGAACGGGUGAGUAACGCGUGGGGAAUCUGCCUUUGAGCGGGGGACAACAUUUGGAAACGAAUGCUAAUACCGCAUAAAAACUUUAAACACAAGUUUUAAGUUUGAAAGAUGCAAUUACAUCACUCAAAGAUGAUCCCGCGUUGUAUUAGCUAGUUGGUGAGGUAAAGGCUCACCAAGGCGAUGAUACAUAGCCGACCUGAGAGGGUGAUCGGCCACAUUGGGACUGAGACACGGCCCAAACUCCUACGGGAGGCAGCAGUAGGGAAUCUUCGGCAAUGGACGAAAGUCUGACCGAGCAACGCCGCGUGAGUGAAGAAGGUUUUCGGAUCGUAAAACUCUGUUGGUAGAGAAGAACGUUGGUGAGAGUGGAAAGCUCAUCAAGUGACGGUAACUACACAGAAAGGGACGGCUAACUACGUG
RNAcentral lists this ribosomal RNA (497 nucleotides) under uncultured bacterium. RNAcentral's name for it is "partial 16S ribosomal RNA". It matches the Rfam family "Bacterial small subunit ribosomal RNA", at positions 28 to 507 of the family's 1533-position model. The record is from RNAcentral.